Molecule: ribosomal RNA, 252 nt
Filed under: uncultured Bacteroidales bacterium
Lineage: Bacteria; Pseudomonadati; Bacteroidota; Bacteroidia; Bacteroidales
Description: partial 16S ribosomal RNA
Rfam family: Bacterial small subunit ribosomal RNA
Source: RNAcentral
UACGGAGGAUGCGAGCGUUAUCCGGAUUUAUUGGGUUUAAAGGGUGCGCAGGCGGAGGCACAAGUCAGCGGUAAAAUCGCGGGGCUCAACCCCGGCCUGCCGUUGAAACUGGCGGCCUCGAGUGGGCGAGAAGUAUGCGGAAUGCGUGGUGUAGCGGUGAAAUGCAUAGAUAUCACGCAGAACUCCGAUUGCGAAGGCAGCAUGCCGGCUUCCUACUGACGCUGAAGCACGAAAGCGUGGGGAUCGAACAGG